UACAGGAAGUCAAGGUCAGGCCAUACCCACCACAGUUCGGGCAGCCAUAGAGGAGAGCUUUCUUAACGGUCCGCUGGGACCCAAGUGGGCCUCCCCUGGGACUGCGUGCUCCCCUACAGAACCUGAUGGCUGGAAACACUCACACUACUGCCUGUCCCGGCAUCUCUCCCUCCGCCGCAGGGGCUGAUGCUGCCACAGGACACAGAGCAGCAGGCCCCAGAGGCUUCUCUGCACCUCUGCUGCCUUUCUGAGUAAUCAGAGGAGGCCACACCCACUCCAGGACACCCACACGGGCCUUCUGGGCGAUGACGCUCCUGGCCCAGGAGUGGGGGGCUGCCUCACACCUGCUGCUGUGGGGCAGAGUCUCUCCUGGGUCGGGGCCUCGCUGGCGGAUCUGCUCCAUGUCGUGUGAUGUGCUGCAGCCCCGCGUCACCGAGAGCCUCUUAUGGGCCACCAAGUCCACACAGCCACUGGCCAUGGGGCACCCUGCAGGGCCUCUGGACACGGAGACCUGUGGUUCUCAGCCAGUGGUGAUUUUGUGUCCAGGGAACACCUGGCCAAGUCUGGGUUCAAUUUUGUUUGUCACAGUUUAAGGUUGGGGUGUCACUAGACAUCCUACAGUGCACAGGACGGCCCCACAGCAGACCAGCCCGACUGUCAGCAGCACCGAGCCGGGAAAGCCUGGUCUGGAGCCGUUUCUCUCUAGGGUCCCUGCUAGGGAACCCCUCACUGCCAUGGAGAACCCCUCUCCUCCUGUCUCUCAGGACUCUCCGAGGGUCAAGGAUGGAUGCCUCCCCAUCGAGGGCCAAACAAACUGACAAAUCGAGUGGGCAAACGGCUUACUCAAAGGCCAGGAGCAGCUACCCGAUGACUGCUCCCUCGACCUCUCUCUUCUCACUUUCUUCCCUAUUCCAUCCUUUGAUGGGUGGCCUGUUACACGUUUGGAAAUAAAAACAAGUGGGAAAGAAAAAAAAAAAAAAAAAA
RNAcentral lists this long non-coding RNA (984 nucleotides) under Homo sapiens (human). RNAcentral describes it as "long independently transcribed non-coding RNA 1711 (LINC01711)". Lineage: Eukaryota; Metazoa; Chordata; Mammalia; Primates; Hominidae. The record is from RNAcentral.